GACCGGGUAGCUCAAUUGGUUAGAGCAUCGGCCUUUUAAGCCGCUGGUUCUGGGUUCGAGUCCCAGCCUGGUCA
This 74-nucleotide transfer RNA is filed under the name Phycisphaera mikurensis. Its description in RNAcentral is "tRNA-Lys". It matches the Rfam family "tRNA". Rfam says of the family: Transfer RNA (tRNA) molecules are approximately 80 nucleotides in length. Their secondary structure includes four short double-helical elements and three loops (D, anti-codon, and T loops). Further hydrogen bonds mediate the characteristic L-shaped molecular structure. tRNAs have two regions of fundamental functional importance: the anti-codon, which is responsible for specific mRNA codon recognition, and the 3' end, to which the tRNAs corresponding amino acid is attached (by aminoacyl-tRNA synthetases). tRNAs cope with the degeneracy of the genetic code in two manners: having more than one tRNA (with a specific anti-codon) for a particular amino acid; and 'wobble' base-pairing, i.e. permitting non-standard base-pairing at the 3rd anti-codon position. Lineage: Bacteria; Pseudomonadati; Planctomycetota; Phycisphaerae; Phycisphaerales; Phycisphaeraceae. The record is from RNAcentral. RNAcentral also lists the same sequence under 1 other name.